GGCUCAGAUUGAACGCUGGCGGAAUGCUUUACACAUGCAAGUCGAACGGCAGCACGGACUUCGGUCUGGUGGCGAGUGGCGAACGGGUGAGUAAUAUAUCGGAACGUGCCCAGUCGUGGGGGAUAACGUAGUGAAAGUUACGCUAAUACCGCAUACGAUCUACGGAUGAAAGCGGGGGACUCGCAAGAGCCUCGCGCGAUUGGAGCGGCCGAUAUCAGAUUAGGUAGUUGGUGGGGUAAAGGCUCACCAAGCCAACGAUCUGUAGCUGGUCUGAGAGGACGACCAGCCACACUGGAACUGAGACACGGUCCAGACUCCUACGGGAGGCAGCAGUGGGGAAUUUUGGACAAUGGGCGAAAGCCUGAUCCAGCCAUUCCGCGUGCAGGAUGAAGGCCCUCGGGUUGUAAACUGCUUUUGUACAGAACGAAAAGGUUUCUACUAAUACUAGGAGCUCAUGACGGUACUGUAAGAAUAAGCACCGGCUAACUACGUG
Molecule: ribosomal RNA, 493 nt
Filed under: uncultured bacterium
Lineage: Bacteria
Description: bacterial SSU rRNA
Rfam family: Bacterial small subunit ribosomal RNA
Source: RNAcentral